GGAAAUCUCACCAGGCCCGGACACUGGAAGGAUUGACAGAUUGAUAGCUCUUUCUUGAUUCGGUAGGUGGUGGUGCAUGGUUGUUCUUAGUUGGUUGAGUGAUUUGUCUUGUUAAUUCCGAUAACGAACGAGACCUUAACCUGCUAAAUAGUGACGCGGUUCAUCGAACCGUGGGCCACUUCUUAGAGGGACUAUCGGAUUCAAACCGAUGGAAGUGUGAGGCAAUAA
Molecule: ribosomal RNA, 228 nt
Filed under: uncultured eukaryote
Lineage: Eukaryota
Description: partial 18S ribosomal RNA
Rfam family: Eukaryotic small subunit ribosomal RNA
Source: RNAcentral